Non-coding RNA from Mycena galericulata, 93 nucleotides. Lineage: Eukaryota; Fungi; Basidiomycota; Agaricomycetes; Agaricales; Mycenaceae. The record is from the annotation of a GenBank genome assembly.
UCGGGUGUAGUGUAUGGAACACACUCCUUCAUCGUGAGCAUAUUGACCAUCAUCGAUUAAGGGGAAACCCAGGUUCGAUUCUUGGCGCCCGAU